GACGAACGCUGGCGGCGUGCUUAACACAUGCAAGUCGAACGGUGAAGGGACCAGCUUGCUGGUUCUGGAUGAGUGGCGAACGGGUGAGUAACACGUGAGUAACCUGCCCCCUUCUUCUGGAUAACCGCAUGAAAGUGUGGCUAAUACGGGAUAUUCUGGGUCUGUCGCAUGGCGGGCCCGGGAAAGAUAUUGCUUCGGUGGGGGAUGGGCUCGCGGCCUAUCAGCUUGUUGGUGGGGUGAUGGCCUACCAAGGCGGUGACGGGUAGCCGGCCUGAGAGGGUGGACGGUCACACUGGGACUGAGACACGGCCCAGACUCCUACGGGAGGCAGCAGUGGGGAAUAUGGCACAAUGGGCGCAAGCCUGAUGCAGCGACGCCGCGUGAGGGAGGGAGGCAUUCGGGGUGUAAACCUCUUUCGCCAGUGAAGCAGGCCUGCUCCUUGUGGGUGGGUUGACGGUAGCUGGAGAAGAAGCGCCGGCUAACUACGUG
This 489-nucleotide ribosomal RNA is filed under the name uncultured bacterium. RNAcentral describes it as "partial 16S ribosomal RNA". It matches the Rfam family "Bacterial small subunit ribosomal RNA", at positions 28 to 507 of the family's 1533-position model. The record is from RNAcentral.